CCUACGGGUGGCAGCAGUGAGAAUACUGGUCAAUGGGCGAGAGCCUGAACCAGCCAAGUCGCGUGAGGGAAGACGGUCCUAUGGAUUGUAAACCUCUUUUGCCGGGGAACAAAAAGCGUUACGUGUACAGCAUCGAGAGUACCCGGAGAAAAAGCAUCGGCUAACUCCGGGACAGCAGCCGCGCUAAUACGGAGGGUGAGAUCGUUAUCAGGAUUUAUUGGGUUUAAAGGGUGCGCAGGCGGCAAGUUAUGUCAGCGGUAAAAUUUCGGGGGUCAAACCCGCCAAGCCGUUGAAACUGGCUUGCUAGAGUGGGCGAGAAGUAUGCGGAAUGCGUGGUGUAGCGGUGAAAUGCAUAGAUAUCACGCAGAACUCCGAUUGCGAAGGCAGCAUACCGGCGCCCAACUGACGCUCAGGCACGAAAGCGUGGGUAUCGAACAGGAUUAGAUACCCCAGUAGUC
Molecule: ribosomal RNA, 458 nt
Filed under: uncultured bacterium
Lineage: Bacteria
Description: partial 16S ribosomal RNA
Rfam family: Bacterial small subunit ribosomal RNA
Source: RNAcentral